GACGAACGCUGGCGGCGUGCUUAACACAUGCAAGUCGAACGGAAAGGCCCUGCUUUUGUGGGGUGCUCGAGUGCCGAACGGGUGAGUGGCACGUGAGUAACCUGCCCUUGACUUUGGGAUAACUUCAGGAAACGGGGGCUAAUACCGGAUAGGAGCCCCUGUUGCAUGGUGGGGGUUGGAAAGUUUCGGCGGUUGGGGAUGGACGCGCGGCUUAUCAGCUUGUUGGUGGGGUAGUGGCUUACCAAGGCUUUGACGGGUAGCCGGCCUGAGAGGGUGACCGGCCACAUUGGGACUGAGAUACGGCCCAGACUCCUACGGGAGGCAGCAGUGGGGAAUAUUGCACAAUGGGCGGAAGCCUGAUGCAGCAACGCCGCGUGCGGGAUGACGGCCUUCGGGUUGUAAACCGCUUUCGCCUGUGACGAAGCGUGAGUGACGGUAAUGGGUAAAGAAGCACCGGCUAACUACGUG
RNAcentral lists this ribosomal RNA (468 nucleotides) under uncultured bacterium. RNAcentral's name for it is "partial 16S ribosomal RNA". It matches the Rfam family "Bacterial small subunit ribosomal RNA", at positions 28 to 507 of the family's 1533-position model. The record is from RNAcentral.